AUUGAACGCUGGCGGCAGGCCUAACACAUGCAAGUCGAACGAGUGGCGGACGGGUGAGCAAUGUCUGGGAAACUGCCCGAAGGAGGGGGAUAACUACUGGAAACGGUAGCUAAUACCGCAUACCAUCGGAUGUGCCCAGAUGGGAUUAGCUAGUAGUGGGGGUAAUGGCUCACCUAGGCGACGAUCCCUAGCUGGUCUGAGAGGAUGACCAGCCACACUGGAACUUAGACACGGUCCAGACUCCUACGGGAGGCAGCAGUGGGGAAUAUUUCGCAAUGGGCGCAAGCCUGAUGCAGCCAUGCCGCGUGUAUGAAGAAGGCCUUCGGUUUGUAAAGUACUUUCCGCGAGGAGGCGUUACUCGCCGAAGAAGCACCGGCUAACUCCGUGCCAGCAGCCGCGGUAAUAC
RNAcentral lists this ribosomal RNA (406 nucleotides) under uncultured bacterium. RNAcentral describes it as "partial 16S ribosomal RNA". It matches the Rfam family "Bacterial small subunit ribosomal RNA", at positions 30 to 526 of the family's 1533-position model. The record is from RNAcentral.